CGGUUUAAGCGUGUAGGUGUGUGUUCCAGGUAAAUCCGGUUCACUUUAACACUGAGGCGUGACGACGAGGCACUACGGUGCUGAAGCAACAAAUGCCCUGCUUCCAGGAAAAGCCUCUAAGCAUCAGGUAACAUCAAAUCGUACCCCAAACCGACACAGGUGGUCAGGUAGAGAAUACCAAGGCGCUUGAGAGAACUCGGGUGAAGGAACUAGGCAAAAUGGUGCCGUAACUUCGGGAGAAGGCACGCUGACACGUAGGUGAAGUGAUUUACUCAUGGAGCUGAAGUCAGUCGAAGAUACCAGCUGGCUGCAACUGUUUAUUAAAAACACAGCACUGUGCAAACACGAAAGUGGACGUAUACGGUGUGACGCCUGCCCGGUGCCGGAAGGUUAAUUGAUGGGGUCAGCGCAAGCGAAGCUCCUGAUCGAAGCCCCGGUAAACGGCGGCCGUAACUAUAACGGUCCUAAGGUAGCGAAAUUCCUUGUCGGGUAAGUUCCGACCUGCACGAAUGGCGUAAUGAUGGCCAGGCUGUCUCCACCCGAGACUCAGUGAAAUUGAACUCGCUGUGAAGAUGCAGUGUACCCGCGGCAAGACGGAAAGACCCCGUGAACCUUUACUAUAGCUUGACACUGAACAUUGAGCCUUGAUGUGUAGGAUAGGUGGGAGGCUUUGAAGUGUGGACGCCAGUCUGCAUGGAGCCGACCUUGAAAUACCACCCUUUAAUGUUUGAUGUUCUAACGUGGACCCGUAAUCCGGGUUGCGGACAGUGUCUGGUGGGUAGUUUGACUGGGGCGGUCUCCUCCUAAAGAGUAACGGAGGAGCACGAAGGUUGGCUAAUCCUGGUCGGACAUCAGGAGGUUAGUGCAAUGGCAUAAGCCAGCUUGACUGCGAGCGUGACGGCGCGAGCAGGUGCGAAAGCAGGUCAUAGUGAUCCGGUGGUUCUGAAUGGAAGGGCCAUCGCUCAACGGAUAAAAGGUACUCCGGGGAUAACAGGCUGAUACCGCCCAAGAGUUCAUAUCGACGGCGGUGUUUGGCACCUCGAUGUCGGCUCAUCACAUCCUGGGGCUGAAGUAGGUCCCAAGGGUAUGGCUGUUCGCCAUUUAAAGUGGUACGCGAGCUGGGUUUAGAACGUCGUGAGACAGUUCGGUCCCUAUCUGCCGUGGGCGCUGGAGAACUGAGGGGGGCUGCUCCUAGUACGAGAGGACCGGAGUGGACGCAUCACUGGUGUUCGGGUUGUCAUGCCAAUGGCACUGCCCGGUAGCUAAAUGCGGAAGAGAUAAGUGCUGAAAGCAUCUAAGCACGAAACUUGCCCCGA
RNAcentral lists this ribosomal RNA (1316 nucleotides) under Salmonella enterica subsp. enterica serovar Mbandaka. RNAcentral describes it as "partial 23S ribosomal RNA". It matches the Rfam family "Bacterial large subunit ribosomal RNA", at positions 1508 to 2802 of the family's 2925-position model. Lineage: Bacteria; Pseudomonadati; Pseudomonadota; Gammaproteobacteria; Enterobacterales; Enterobacteriaceae. The record is from RNAcentral.